This 71-nucleotide transfer RNA is filed under the name Toxocara canis (dog roundworm). It matches the Rfam family "tRNA". Rfam says of the family: Transfer RNA (tRNA) molecules are approximately 80 nucleotides in length. The record is from Rfam by way of RNAcentral. Lineage: Eukaryota; Metazoa; Nematoda; Chromadorea; Rhabditida; Toxocaridae.
GCGGCAGUAGGUCAGUGGUAGAGCCCCGCUUCGCAUGCAGGGAGAUCCGGGUUCGAUUCCCGGCUGCUUCC